Molecule: long non-coding RNA, 398 nt
Organism: Calypte anna (Anna's hummingbird)
Lineage: Eukaryota; Metazoa; Chordata; Aves; Apodiformes; Trochilidae
Exons: 3
Source: RefSeq, a predicted model, not a curated record
CCCGCCCCCGGAGCCCGGCGGUCAGAGGCGUUGGGCCCGGCCCGUCGGUGGCCCAGGUCGGACAGGGCUAUCCCCCGCGGCCUGUGCCGGCCUCUCACCUGCUUCAGCCGGGAGAUGAGCACGGUCUUCACUCCGGUGAUGUCCAGGUUGCGCCGCUUCAGUUCUGACUUGAGGUCGAUGACCCGCAGGGAACGCUUGAAGUUAUUUUGCCAAUACGAGCUGUUCUAGCUGCUUCUGAAUCUUCGUGAGGCAGAAACGGUGAAUUGAAUUUCAGGAAAGAAGAUGAAAGGGAUGACAAAUACAGCACUUGGGCUGCAUAGAGGGGUUGCUUGACCUGCCUAAACCUUGCUGCAUGGUCAUGUAGCUGUACACCUAACUCACCCUCCCAGCCCCCAAAU